AUGCACGCUGGCGGCGUGCCUAACACAUGCCAGUCGAGCGGCAGCGAGGGGUGCUUGCACCCUGUCGGCGAGCGGCGGACGGCUGAGUAACGCGUGGGAACGUGCCCCAAAGUGAGGAAUAACUGCCCGAAAGGGUAGCUAAUACCGCAUAUUAUCUUCGGAUCAAAGGAUUUAUCCGCUUUGGGAGCGGCUCGCGUCGGAUUAGGUAGUUGGUGAGGUAAUGGCUCACCAAGCCGACGAUCCGUAGCUGGUCUGAGAGGAUGACCAGCCAGACUGGAACUGAGACACGGUCCAGACUCCUACGGGAGGCAGCAGUGAGGAAUCUUCCACAAUGGGCGAAAGCCUGAUGGAGCAACGCCGCGUGCAGGACGAAGGCCUUCGGGUUGUAAACUGCUUUUAUAAGUGAGGAAUAUGACGGUAACUUAUGAAUAAGGAUCGGCUAACUACGUG
RNAcentral lists this ribosomal RNA (450 nucleotides) under uncultured bacterium. Its description in RNAcentral is "partial 16S ribosomal RNA". It matches the Rfam family "Bacterial small subunit ribosomal RNA", at positions 29 to 507 of the family's 1533-position model. The record is from RNAcentral.